GAUGAACGCUGGCGGCGUGCCUAAUACAUGCAAGUCGAGCGAACGGACGAGAAGCUUGCUUCUCUGAUGUUAGCGGCGGACGGGUGAGUAACACGUGGAUAACCUACCUAUAAGACUGGGAUAACUUCGGGAAACCGGAGCUAAUACCGGAUAAUAUUUUGAACCGCAUGGUUCAAAAGUGAAAGACGGUCUUGCUGUCACUUAUAGAUGGAUCCGCGCUGCAUUAGCUAGUUGGUAAGGUAACGGCUUACCAAGGCAACGAUGCAUAGCCGACCUGAGAGGGUGAUCGGCCACACUGGAACUGAGACACGGUCCAGACUCCUACGGGAGGCAGCAGUAGGGAAUCUUCCGCAAUGGGCGAAAGCCUGACGGAGCAACGCCGCGUGAGUGAUGAAGGUCUUCGGAUCGUAAAACUCUGUUAUUAGGGAAGAACAUAUGUGUAAGUAACUGUGCACAUCUUGACGGUACCCUAUCAGAAAGCCACGGCUAACUACGUGCCAGCAGCCGCGGUAAUACGUANGUGGGCAGCGUUAUCCGGAANUUAUGGGCGUAAAGCGCGCGUAGCGGUUUUUUAGUCUGAUGUGAAAGCCCACGGCUCAACCGUGGAGGGUCAUUGGAAACUGGAAAACUUGAGUGCAGAAGAGGAAAGUGGAAUUCCAUGUGUAGCGGUGAAAUGCGCAGAGAUAUGGAGGAACACCAGUGGCGAAGGCGACUUUCUGGUCUGUAACUGACGCUGAUGUGCGAAAGCGUGGGGAUCAAACAGGAUUAGAUACCCUGGUAGUCCACGCCGUAAACGAUGAGUGCUAAGUGUUAGGGGGUUUCCGCCCCUUAGUGCUGCAGCUAACGCAUUAAGCACUCCGCCUGGGGAGUACGACCGCAAGGUUGAAACUCAAAGGAAUUGACGGGGACCCGCACAAGCGGUGGAGCAUGUGGUUUAAUUCGAAGCAACGCGAAGAACCUUACCAAAUCUUGACAUCCUUUGACAACUCUAGAGAUAGAGCCUUCCCCUUCGGGGGACAAAGUGACAGGUGGUGCAUGGUUGUCGUCAGCUCGUGUCGUGAGAUGUUGGGUUAAGUCCCGCAACGAGCGCAACCCUUAAGCUUAGUUGCCAUCAUUAAGUUGGGCACUCUAAGUUGACUGCCGGUGACAAACCGGAGGAAGGUGGGGAUGACGUCAAAUCAUCAUGCCCCUUAUGAUUUGGGCUACACACGUGCUACAAUGGACAAUACAAAGGGCAGCGAAACCGCGAGGUCAAGCAAAUCCCAUAAAGUUGUUCUCAGUUCGGAUUGUAGUCUGCAACUCGACUACAUGAAGCUGGAAUCGCUAGUAAUCGUAGAUCAGCAUGCUACGGUGAAUACGUUCCCGGGUCU
This 1370-nucleotide ribosomal RNA is filed under the name uncultured bacterium. RNAcentral's name for it is "bacterial SSU rRNA". It matches the Rfam family "Bacterial small subunit ribosomal RNA", at positions 28 to 1381 of the family's 1533-position model. The record is from RNAcentral.